This 454-nucleotide ribosomal RNA is filed under the name uncultured bacterium. RNAcentral's name for it is "bacterial SSU rRNA". It matches the Rfam family "Bacterial small subunit ribosomal RNA", at positions 8 to 507 of the family's 1533-position model. The record is from RNAcentral.
AGAGUUUGAUCAUGGCUCAGAACGAACGCUGGCGGCAGGCUUAACACAUGCAAGUCGAACGGAUCCUUCGGGAUCAGUGGCGGACGGGUGAGUAACGCGUGGGAACCUACCCUGGGGUGGGGAAUAACCUUGGGAAACCGAGGCUAAUACCGCAUACGCCCUAUUGGGGAAAGACUAUGUUGCCCUGGGAUGGGCCCGCGUCCGAUUAGCUAGUUGGUGGGGUAAUGGCCUACCAAGGCUGCGAUCGGUAGCUGGUCUGAGAGGAUGAUCAGCCACACUGGGACUGAGACACGGCCCAGACUCCUACGGGAGGCAGCAGUGGGGAAUAUUGGACAAUGGGGGCAACCCUGAUCCAGCCAUGCCGCGUGAGUGAAGAAGGCCUUAGGGUUGUAAAGCUCUUUCACCCGUGACGAUGAUGACGGUAGCGGGAGAAGAAGCCCCGGCUAAUUCCGUG